Molecule: ribosomal RNA, 774 nt
Filed under: uncultured Neocallimastigales
Lineage: Eukaryota; Fungi; Neocallimastigomycota; Neocallimastigomycetes; Neocallimastigales
Description: partial large subunit ribosomal RNA
Rfam family: Eukaryotic large subunit ribosomal RNA
Source: RNAcentral
CGAGCACGCGCGUGUGGCAUAUCAAUAAGCGGAGGAAAAGAAACUAACAAGGAUUCCCCUAGUAACGGCGAGUGAAGCGGGAAGAGCUCAAAUUUGAAAUCUUCAAGGGUUUCCCUUGACGAAUUGUAGUUUAAAGAAGUGUUUUCUGUUAGAGAGGUGGUAAAAGUUCUUUGGAAUAGGACAUCAUGGAGGGUGAGAAUCCCGUAUUUGAUCACUUUCUACUAACGUUGUGAUACACUUUCAAAGAGUCGGAUUGUUUGGGAAUGCAGUCCAAAAUGGGUGGUAAAUUUCAUCUAAAGCUAAAUAUUGGCGAGAGACCGAUAGCGAACAAGUACCGUGAGGGAAAGAUGAAAAGAACUUUGAAAAGAGAGUAAAACAGUACGUGAAAUUGUCAAAAGGGAAGCGUUUGACACCAGUGUUGUUUUUCCGAAAAUCAAUUAUGAAUGGCUUGAUUUUAAGUUUCAUGACCUUAAAAGCUUGUUUCUUAUUUUUCAUGUCUUUCGUAAUGCACUUUUCGGUUAACAAGUCAACAUCAAUUUCUUUUGUUGUAAAAGGUUAAGAGGAAGGUGGCUUUACUUUCGGGUAAAGUGUUUAUAGCCUUUUAACUCUGCAAUCGGAGAGAUUGAGGUCUGCAGCGUAGAUCCUUCGGGGUUAGAUACAGUUUGUGCUAAGUUAUAGCUUUUCAUAGACAACUUGUUGACUAUGUUAAGUCUUGUAAUUUACUCGCAGAUGCUAUUUUACCUACGCUUAGGAUGUUGAUGUGAUACUGCGAGC